This 429-nucleotide ribosomal RNA is filed under the name bacterium. Its description in RNAcentral is "partial 16S ribosomal RNA". It matches the Rfam family "Bacterial small subunit ribosomal RNA", at positions 355 to 776 of the family's 1533-position model. The record is from RNAcentral.
UAGUGAAUCUUCGGCAAUGGGGGCAACCCUGACCGAGCAACGCCGCGUGAGUGACGAAGGUUUUCGGAUCGUAAAGCUCUGUUGUAAGUAAAGAACGUGUGUGAGAGUGGAAAGUUCACACUGUGACGGUAGCUUACCAGAAAGGGACGGCUAACUACGUGCCAGCAGCCGCGGUAAUACGUAGGGCCCGAGCGUUGUCCGGAUUUAUUGGGCGUAAAGCGAGCGCAGGCGGUUUGAUAAGUCUGAAGUUAAAGGCAGUGGCUGAACCAUAGUUUGCUUGGGAAAGUGUCAAACUUGAGUGCAGAAGGGGAGGGUGGAAUUCCAUGUGUAGCGGUCAAAUGAGUAGAUAUAUGGAGGAACACCGGUGGCGAGAGAGGCGCUCUGGUCUGUAACUGACGCUGAGGCUCGAAAGCGUGGGGAGCGAACAGG